AGUGAACGCUGGCGGCAGGCCUAACACAUGCAAGUCGAGCGGCAGCGGGUCCCCGUGAGGGGAUGCCGGCGAGCGGCGGACGGGUGAGGAACACAUCGGAAUCUGCCUGGUUGUGGGGGAUAACGUAGGGAAACUUACGCUAAUACCGCAUGAGACCCUGAGUCGACGGACUGGGGGUGAAAGUGAGGGACCUUCGGGCCUCACGCGACCAGAUGAGCCGAUGUCGGAUUAGCUAGUUGGCGGGGUAACGGCCCGCCAAGGCGACGAUCCGUAGCUGGUCUGAGAGGAUGAUCAGCCACACUGGGACUGAGACACGGCCCAGACUCCUACGGGAGGCAGCAGU
Molecule: ribosomal RNA, 343 nt
Filed under: uncultured bacterium
Lineage: Bacteria
Description: bacterial SSU rRNA
Rfam family: Bacterial small subunit ribosomal RNA
Source: RNAcentral